Molecule: ribosomal RNA, 443 nt
Filed under: uncultured bacterium
Lineage: Bacteria
Description: bacterial SSU rRNA
Rfam family: Bacterial small subunit ribosomal RNA
Source: RNAcentral
CCUACGGGAGGCUGCAGUGGGGAAUAUUGCACAAUGGGGGAAACCCUGAUGCAGCGACGCCGCGUGAAGGAAGAAGGUUUUCGGAUCGUAAACUUCUAUCAGCAGGGAAGAAGAAAGUGACAGUACCUGACUAAGAAGCCCCGGCUAACUACGUGCCAGAGGCCGCGGUAAUACGUAGGGGGCAAGCGUUAUCCGGAAUCACGGGGUGUAAAGGGUGCGUAGGCGGUAGGGCAAGUUAGAUGUGAAAGCCCGGGGCUCCACCCCGGGAUUGCAUUUGGAACUGUCUUACUAGAGUGCAGGAGAGGAAAGCGGAAUGCCUGGUGUAGCGGUGAAAGGCAUAGAAAAUAGGAAGAACACCAGUGGCGAAGGCGGCUCUCUGGACAGCAACUGACGCUGAGGCACGAAAGCGUGGGGAGCGAACAGGAUUAGAUACCCGUGUAGUC